UCUUCAUACCACAGUGAAAACACCUGAUCUCAUCUGAUUUCAGAAGCUAAGCAGGGUUGGGCCUGGUUAGUACUUGGAUGGAAGACAGAUCUUCAAAACAGACUGCUCAGAGAC
This 114-nucleotide ribosomal RNA is filed under the name Castor canadensis (American beaver). The record is from RNAcentral. Lineage: Eukaryota; Metazoa; Chordata; Mammalia; Rodentia; Castoridae.